UGCGGUGCAUGGCCCUGGGACCUCCGUCCCUCAGCUCCCCGUUCCCUCAACCUGCUGCUCAGCAUCCUACUGGUCUCGAGGCCCUGCUUGCCGUCUUAGCCAGGAUGCCCUGCCUCUAGUCCCUCCACCACACUCCCACCUACCAUCUCCCCGCAUUGUCGCCCCAUCUUAGAGCCUAGGCACUGGAGGCAGAAGUGUGAUGUUGACGCUGGUGGGGAGGCAGGGAAGUUUCCCUGCUCAGGGGCUCAUUCAGACCUCUCUUUCCUUGGGGCUUUCCUGUAGGGAGAGAAGAGCAGUCCUUGCCUCUCUCCACAGCCUCCGUCUCUCCCACUCUGAAAUGUGAAAUACCCGGUUGACUGGACCCCUGUCCACCCACCUUGGGGUCACCUGGCCCAAAGUAGGUGCUCAAAGCAUGAGAGGUGGGAUGUUGUUUUCUGUCAGAUCAGAGGGCCAUUUGCAAACAGGUUGCAGCUGGGGAAGUGGAAAGGGGACCCCCCCCCUUUGCCACAAGUCACCUGCCUUGAAGCUCCUCAGAACCGGCUGACAACUGGGGGUGGGUGGAGGCAGGGAAAGGUCGUGGCCGGGGCAGGAGGUCAAGGCCUCUUCUACCCACCCCUCUCCACCUUUCUGGCCACAACCCAGACCUGCACGCUCCCGACGGACCGAGGGACAGAGAGACAGAGCUGGCCAGCUCCCGGGGAGUCGCUGGGCCGCGCGGAACGCGCGCCUGGCAGCCGAGACCCGCGGGGAUAAGGUGCUGACGGGCGGGGCCAACGGCUCCCACCGCCACCACCCCCGCCCCCCGACGGGACACACAGACACGCACGCGGCCGGACAGACAGACGGACAGCGCCCCGGAGGGCGUGGGCCCGGCUUACCGCGGGGCGGAGGGUCCGACGAAGGUCCAGGAGGCGGCGAGCGGGCUCUACAUCCCACGGCGCGAUCGGGCGGGCGGCGUCCCGGGCGGGGAGAGGGGAGUCCCGGCGCCCCCUCCCCGCGAACUCGGCGGGCCGGCGCCGCCCCCCCUCCCCGGCUGCCGGUGGGUCUGUCCGUUGGUCUCCGGGUCUCCGCGCCUCGGGCCCGUCCCGCGCCGCUCCCCGCGGGCCGCCCAACUUUCAGCGCUGCCCCGCGCCGCGCCCCCGGCGCCGCCUGGGCGUCAGCAUCGUCGGGCCGGGCCCCGGCUCAGAGCUCGGGGGUCCGGGGGCCCAUGGCGCUCGACCGCCAGCGCUCGCGCCCCCCGCCCCCGUCGCCCCUCCGCCGCCGCCCGCCGCUGUUCUCGCGCUGUCACUCCGCACUGUCCCCCGCCCUGCGCUCCGCGCCCUGCCCCGCGGCGCUCGCCUCCGGCCCCGGCCCCGAGAACCCUGCGGCCCGCCGGCCCGGGAUCCGCCGCCACCCACCCCGGCUGCCCCCCGGGCUCUCUGUCCCUCUGCCGGUCUCCUCUGUCCCCGUGCGGGUUUCUCCGUCUCUCCCUGCGGGGUCUCUGUCUUCUCCCUGCCGCCCUCCCCUGGUGUCUCCCCUGCCUCCCUCCGCCUCUGCCCUGUCUCCCCUGCGCGUCUCUAUCUGUCCUCCUCCCGGUCUCCGUCUGUCCUUCUCUGUCUCUCUCUCCCUCCCACUCUCGGUGCGGCCCCCGCUGUCUCGGACCCAGGCCCGCGCCUCCGCCGCGUCCCCGGCUCGCCCGGGAGCCCGAGCUCCCGCCGCCCGCGGCGCGCCGAGAACUCCCAACUCGCGGCACGCCGCCCCGCUUUGCGAGACUUUCGCCCCUCCUCACACGUGACCCGCGCCCCAGUGCGGAGGCCGCGCGCCCCCCCCCCCGGCCCCCGGGCCCCGGGCGGCCCGCGGGGCCCCGCCCGGCCCCUUCCCCGCGGCCCAGCGGGUCUUCAAACCCGCUCGCGUCGGCCGGCCGCGCGGGGCAGGGCCGAGGGCUGGGGGCUGCGGGGCCCCCGCUCCUGCCCCGGAUCCUGCCCGGGUUUUCCUCCUCCCUCCAGGAGCGCUCCUCCCAGAACCCAUUCCGAAGAUCCGCUCCCGGGUUUUCUAGCCCCCAGGGGCCGGCAGGCAGCCAAGACUGGCUUUCCUUCACAUGACUCUUCCGUGUGAAUGGAUGGAUGAACUUAAGCAAUCUGAAUCCUGGGUCAGUGGCAGAUAAGUGCCCGGUCACUAUCACACCUUUCCAUGGAAAUCGGGAGGAUGCAGGUGAGGCAAAUGACCUGUGGUCUCUUCAGCUAGCCAGAGGCCUGACCUGGUGGCUGCCCUGGAAAUGUGGGGUGCGGGGGGGGCGGGGAAGAAGAGGGGCAGAGGAGGUGGGGAAUGCAGACAGAGGUGUCUGUAGAUCCAGAGCCUCUGUUCCUGUGGGAUCAGUCCUGAUGCUAGGUCCCUGGACACAAGUUUAAGGAAAAGGUAAGGGCUCAGGGACAGUGACUUCUGGGAGAUGGGAGGGGGAGGCCUGGUGCCUGUGAUGUCAUAGGGUUGAGAGGAAACAUUUGGUAAUGGUCACCUUGCUAGUCCCGGAGCUGCAGUCUGGGGACCCCCCCCCGCUUGCUCGUCUCCUGUAAGGAGGGUCUGGUGGAGGCCAAGGUUGGACUGGGAGGAGGUGGGGAGAGGCAGAAGGGACAGUUCCAGUCAGAGAGAGGUUC
RNAcentral lists this long non-coding RNA (2630 nucleotides) under Zalophus californianus (California sea lion). RNAcentral's name for it is "lncRNA (ENSZCAG00015013908.1)". Lineage: Eukaryota; Metazoa; Chordata; Mammalia; Carnivora; Otariidae. The record is from RNAcentral.